Molecule: long non-coding RNA, 224 nt
Filed under: Mytilus galloprovincialis (Mediterranean mussel)
Lineage: Eukaryota; Metazoa; Mollusca; Bivalvia; Mytilida; Mytilidae
Source: RNAcentral
AAACUACUGGGCCAAAUUUAACCAAACUUGGCCACAAUCAUCAUUGGGGUAUCUAGUUUUAAAAAUGUGUCCGGUGACCCGGUCAACCUACCAAGAUGGCCGCCAUGGCUAAAAAUAGAACAUAGGGGUAAAAUGCAGUUUUGGCUUAUAACUCAAAAACCAAAGCAUUUAGAGCAAAUCUGACAUGGGGUAAAAUUGUUCAUCAGCUCAAGAUCUAUCUGCCC